CGGCAAACUCAUCGAAAGAUGACGACGCAAAGCUAUGAGUCUAAAGCGGUGCUUCCGUUAUGAUCGUCAGGCUGCAAA
RNAcentral lists this non-coding RNA (78 nucleotides) under uncultured Intestinimonas sp. RNAcentral's name for it is "Cyclic di-GMP-I riboswitch". It matches the Rfam family "c-di-GMP-I riboswitch aptamer", at positions 11 to 87 of the family's 87-position model. Rfam says of the family: GEMM was predicted in a large-scale screen for bacterial structured RNA regulatory elements. Genes associated with GEMM are involved in a diverse array of functions, including chemotaxis regulation, signal transduction, secretion and chitin. Lineage: Bacteria; Bacillati; Bacillota; Clostridia; Eubacteriales. The record is from RNAcentral.